This 72-nucleotide transfer RNA is filed under the name Phrynosoma platyrhinos (Desert horned lizard). RNAcentral's name for it is "tRNA-OTHER". The record is from RNAcentral. Lineage: Eukaryota; Metazoa; Chordata; Lepidosauria; Squamata; Phrynosomatidae.
GCCAGUGUGGUGUAGUGGUUUGAAUGUUGGACUAGGAUUCUGGAGACCAGGGUUCAAAUCCUGGCUCAGCCA